GACGAACGCUGGCGGCGUGCUUAACACAUGCAAGUCGAACGCUGAAGCUCAGCUUUUGUUGGGUGGAUGAGUGGCGAACGGGUGAGUAACACGUGAGUAACCUGCCUCCUUCUUUGGGAUAACGCCCGGAAACGGGUGCUAAUACUGGAUAUUCACUGGUCUUCGCAUGGGGGUUGGUGGAAAGGGUUUUUCUGGUGGGGGAUGGGCUCGCGGCCUAUCAGCUUGUUGGUGGGGUGAUGGCCUACCAAGGCUUUGACGGGUAGCCGGCCUGAGAGGGUGACCGGUCACAUUGGGACUGAGAUACGGCCCAGACUCCGACGGGAGGCAGCAGUGGGGAAGAUUGCACAAUGGGCGCAAGCCUGAUGCAGCGACGCCGCGUGAGGGAUGGAGGCCUUCGGGUUGUGAACCUCUUUCGCUCAUGGUCAAGCCGCAACAAUGGUUGUGGUGAGGGUAGUGGGUAAAGAAGCGCCGGCUAACUACGUG
RNAcentral lists this ribosomal RNA (483 nucleotides) under uncultured bacterium. RNAcentral describes it as "partial 16S ribosomal RNA". It matches the Rfam family "Bacterial small subunit ribosomal RNA", at positions 28 to 507 of the family's 1533-position model. The record is from RNAcentral.